Molecule: ribosomal RNA, 366 nt
Filed under: Triticum aestivum (bread wheat)
Lineage: Eukaryota; Viridiplantae; Streptophyta; Magnoliopsida; Poales; Poaceae
Description: partial small subunit ribosomal RNA
Source: RNAcentral
AUGCCGGGCACUCUCAAUGAUAUCAAUGUGUUGCAACGGUCUCAUUUGUUUGCUAGGCUAGCUAGUGGUGAUGCUCCUGCUUGCAACUACACUAUCAAUGAGCAUGAAUACACAAAGGGGUACUAUCUUGCAGAGGGUAUAUACCCUCCUUGGUGCACAUUUGUCAAAAGCAUCAAAGAACCCAAAACUAAAAAGCAAUGUGAAUUUGCAACGGUGCAAGAGGCAGCCCGAAAAGACAUUGAAAGAGCAUUCGGUGUUUUGCAAUCUAGGUUUGCCAUUGUCCGUGGUCCUGCUCGUUUUUGGGAUAAGAAAACCUUAAAAAAAUAUUAUGACAUGUUGUGUUAUCCUGCACAAUAUGAUUCUUGA